AUUCCAUGAUGGGGACAUUUUAGGAUGUAGUCUUGAAAGCGCUCUCAUGCCUCUGGAACGGAUUCAUUAUGUUGUUGCUGAAAACUUGUAAUCUUCCAUGGAGAGC
This 106-nucleotide small nucleolar RNA is filed under the name Sorghum bicolor (sorghum). Its description in RNAcentral is "Plant small nucleolar RNA R71". It matches the Rfam family "Plant small nucleolar RNA R71". From Rfam's summary of the family: R71 is a member of the C/D box family of snoRNAs containing the C (UGAUGA) and D (CUGA) box motifs. Multiple nearly identical copies of this snoRNA have been identified in Arabidopsis, and it is thought to function as a 2'-O-ribose methylation guide for 18S ribosomal RNA. The record is from Rfam by way of RNAcentral. Lineage: Eukaryota; Viridiplantae; Streptophyta; Magnoliopsida; Poales; Poaceae.